Molecule: ribosomal RNA, 253 nt
Filed under: uncultured bacterium
Lineage: Bacteria
Description: partial 16S ribosomal RNA
Rfam family: Bacterial small subunit ribosomal RNA
Source: RNAcentral
UACAGAGGGUGCGAGCGUUGUCCGGAAUCACUGGGCGUAAAGGGCGCGUAGGCGGCUUCUUAAGCGUGUGGUGAAAGCGCGGGGCUCAACCCCACGUCGGCCGUGCGAACUGGGGAGCUGGAGCACGUCAGAGGCAGGCGGAAUUCCGGGUGUAGCGGUGGAAUGCGCAGAUAUCAGGAGGAACACCGGUGGCGAAGGCGGGUCUCUGGGCAGUAACUGACGCUGAGGAGCGAAAGCGUGGGGAGCGAACAGG